UGGACCAGUGAUGACAGUGUGUGACGUCUGAGUCAUGGACAAUGAACAGUAUGUGUCUGGAAGUCUGAGGUCCAA
Small nucleolar RNA from Procavia capensis (Cape rock hyrax), 75 nucleotides. NCBI's taxonomy places the organism in Eukaryota, Metazoa, Chordata, Mammalia, Hyracoidea, Procaviidae. The record is from Ensembl.